This 483-nucleotide ribosomal RNA is filed under the name uncultured bacterium. Its description in RNAcentral is "bacterial SSU rRNA". It matches the Rfam family "Bacterial small subunit ribosomal RNA", at positions 28 to 524 of the family's 1533-position model. The record is from RNAcentral.
GACGAACGCUGGCGGCGUGCCUAACACAUGCAAGUCGAACGGAGAUACGAUUUCGGUUGUAUCUUAGUGGCGAACGGGUGAGUAACGCGUGAGCAACCUGACCUUUAGAGGGGGAUAACACUUGGAAACAGGUGCUAAUACCGCAUAAGACCACGACCUGACAUCAGGAUGAGGUCAAAGGAGCAAUCCGCUAAAGGAGGGGCUCGCGUCCCAUUAGAUAGAUGGCGGGGUAACGGCCCACCAUGUCGACGAUGGGUAGCCGAGCUGAGAGGCUGAUCGGCCACACUGGAACUGAGACACGGUCCAGACUCCUACGGGAGGCAGCAGUGGGGAAUAUUGGGCAAUGGGCGCAAGCCUGACCCAGCAACGCCGCGUGAGGGAAGAAGGCCUUCGGGUUGUAAACCUCUGUCCUUGGUGUACGAAACAAAUGACGGUAGCCAAGGAGGAAGCCCCGGCUAACUACGUGCCAGCAGCCGCGGUAAU